CAAAGAGCAGCACGGCUAGACUCAAGCAGCAAGGAAGUGAACAUGGUGGUUGGGAGGACACGGGCGGUGGCAAUGGCUCGAUCCAACGGUAACGAUUUGUUUAGGGGAUAAAGAUACUCAGAGGCUUGUGUUGCAUAUGGAGAGGGACUUGACCAUGACCCCCACAACUCGGUGUUGUUGUGCAACAGAGCCACUUGCAGGUCCAAACUCGGUCAAUUUGAGAAAGCAAUCGAGGACUGGACUACUGCCCUUAAUGUGCUCCCAUCUUACAGGAAAGCCAGAUUAAGAAGAGUCAAUUGCUAUGCCAAGGUUAUGGCAAGCAAGACAAAGAUCUACAUUGUGCUCGAGCAUGUUGGUGGGGGCGAGCUUUUUGACAAAAUAGCCAAACUAGGAAGACUUAAAGAGGAUGAAGCUAGGAGAUAUUUUCAGCAGCUCAUCAAUGCUGUAGACUACUGCCACAGUAGAGGUGUGUACCAUAGAGACUUAAAGCCCGAGAAUCUGCUUCUAGACUCAUUUGGUGUUCUCAAGGUUUCAGACUUUGGAUUGAGUGCAUUUUCCCAGCAAGUGUGGGUAAGUAUUAUGUGAGUUUGCAACAAUUUCCUCAUCUAAGAACAGAUUUUUAGCAGGUGGGUGUUAAUAAAUUAAACGUUAAAUUUUUAAAAGUGGUUACAGCACUGAGUCAAUUUUGCAGUCUAUUUGGUUUACUAAAAUCACCUAAUCUAGAAGCUACCUUUCUAGCCAGGAGCAGUGCCUUAUUCUGAAAGGAAUUCCUCAGGAAUAAUGUGGCCAUUAGUUUUUCUUCUAUCCUUCAGUGGCUUGUUCAUUUCUUGUUUCUAUUAAUUUGGAAAUGAACUUUUUCUUAUGUUUUGUGUUUUUCCUUUCCCUCUUUUUAUAUUAGUUUCCCCAAAUGAAGG
Camellia sinensis is the source of this 914-nucleotide non-coding RNA. The record is from RefSeq and is a predicted model, not a curated record. Lineage: Eukaryota; Viridiplantae; Streptophyta; Magnoliopsida; Ericales; Theaceae.